GCCUAGAUGAUCUAGACUUCUCUGUGUCUGC
Molecule: non-coding RNA, 31 nt
Filed under: Mus musculus (house mouse)
Lineage: Eukaryota; Metazoa; Chordata; Mammalia; Rodentia; Muridae
Source: RNAcentral